Molecule: long non-coding RNA, 339 nt
Filed under: Phoenix dactylifera (date palm)
Lineage: Eukaryota; Viridiplantae; Streptophyta; Magnoliopsida; Arecales; Arecaceae
Description: long non-coding RNA (PDAC_LNC014538)
Source: RNAcentral
AUUCCUCCUCUUCCCCACCAGGGGAGGGGGCUGCUCCCUUUCUUCCAUCUUCUCCCACCGAGCUCUUCACAAGGGAGUUCCCACAAAAGAAUAAAAAAAAGGAGAGGGAGAGAAUACUUUGUGAUAUUUUGGGAAUAGAGGGAGUGGGACGAAAGCGGAAUAUUUUCAUAUGAAGAUGGGAGCCCGCUGCUGUGCUGCUGCUGCCGUCCUCCACUGCAUGGAAGCUUAAAUUCCUCACUAGGGCUGGAUGCAACCCUGACAAAGGGACACGGGUUUUAUAUUUUAUUUUAUAUUCUUGGAGUUGUAUGAACUUAUUGUUUUUAAUGAAUAUCUUCUUUU